RNAcentral lists this unclassified non-coding RNA (1069 nucleotides) under Dimorphilus gyrociliatus. RNAcentral describes it as "dgyrCDS12339". Lineage: Eukaryota; Metazoa; Annelida; Polychaeta; Dinophilidae. The record is from RNAcentral.
AUAAGGGCUAAAGUUCCACAUUAUUCGCCAUCUGCCGCUCUGAGUAACAGCUGUUUUGGUUGGUUUUUUUAAAACAAAACAGAAAUUAACUAGUUUACUCUGAUAUAAAGAGGAUUAUUAAACAAAUUAAGGUUUGUGUUUGCUUGUUUUUUUCUAUUUUACUAAAAAUAUUACUCGUUAGAUUAUCGGCUACGGUAAUAGUUAAUCCCAGUCGAUGACUUUGAUUUUUUAAGGUAAUUUUAUGACGCACAUUACGUAUGAUCUGUUUUUAUCAUAAAUACUAUUCAAAAUUAUAUAAUAGAAUAAUGAAUACUUUAUAAAAUGUUAACACAUGAUCUUGAAGAUCUAUAAACAUGUUUAAAAUGAAAAAAGAAGAAAAAGGGGAAAAUUACUAAACGAAUGUCAAUAUUUAUAUUUAUUUUAUUCAAACGAAUAUUUAAUUGCGUGAAGUGAAAAUAUUAUUAUUCAAAAAUAGUUUUCCACCAUCUUUUUAUUUAGAUGACAACCCCUUCAGCUCCUAUACCUGACAAUCCACCACCUUAUAGCCCUCCCCAAUAUCCAUCACCGCCCUUACAAGGAAACGCGCCGGUAUAUUCACCAUACAACCAAGCUUACCCUCAUCAUAAUUACAACCUACACGGAAAUCUACAAAGACCACAGGAACCAACAACUGUAUACAUAGUCAGAGAUGAAGAGGCCGCUAGAAAAGCAGCUGAUGAGCAAGCAGCAGCCGAUUGUUUACUAUUUAGCUGGUGUUGGGCAGCCUUAUGUUGUUGCUUGGCAAUGGACGCUUGAAACAAAAGAAAAAAAUAUGAAUACGAAGAAUAAGAGAUAUAAAAAAGAUAUAUAAAUAUAUUUACUUUUCUUAAAUUUUACUUAUACGAAGACAUUGAACAUUUCUUAUUGUUUUCUUAGUCAUCCAAGUAUUACCUGCAAUCAGUUAAUAGUUAUGUAAGGUAUUGAUUGUUACAAGCAAUGGGAAUGAUAUCCAUUUAUGACAAAUGUCUAUUUUGUAAGCUAUGUUUUCUUUUUAAAAGAAAUAAUUAAUAAAUUAAUAUUUUUAAAUUAA